RNAcentral lists this ribosomal RNA (443 nucleotides) under uncultured bacterium. Its description in RNAcentral is "partial 16S ribosomal RNA". It matches the Rfam family "Bacterial small subunit ribosomal RNA", at positions 338 to 795 of the family's 1533-position model. The record is from RNAcentral.
CCUACGGGUGGCAGCAGUGGGGAAUAUUGGGCAAUGGAGGAAACUCUGACCCAGCAACGCCGCGUGAAUGAUGACGGUCUUCGGAUUGUAAAGUUCUUUUCUAAGGGAAGAAGAAAGUGACGGUACCUUAGUAAUAAGCCUCGGCUAACUACGUGCCAGCAGCCGCGGUUAUACGUAGGAGGCAAGCGUUAUCCGGAAUGACUGGGCGUAAAGGGUGCGUAGGUGGUUUGAUAAGUUGGUAGCGUAACUCCGAGGCUCAACCUCGGCACUACUACCCAAACUGUCGGACUUGAGUGCAGGAGGGGCAAGUGGAAUUCCUAGUGUAGCGGUGGAAUGCGUAGAUAUUAGGAGGAACACCAGUGGCGAAGGCGAGUUGCUGGACUGUAACUGACACUGAGGCACGAAAGCGUGGGGAGCAAACAGGAUUAGAUACCCGAGUAGUC